AGAGCUAAAGCUAUGUAUUAAGUGCUCACAAUUAUCGGUUGUUAUUUAGCUGAGAUUGGUAGUAAACAGGAUUUGCAACAGAUUCUCCAUUGUAAUUUGUGCUUUAAGGUGCUAAUUUAAUAUAUGUAUGGGUCUGUAGCUCAGCUGGUUAGAGCACCGUCUUGAUAAGGCGGGGGUCGUUGGUUCAAGUCCAACCAGACCCACCAUUUCUUUGAGCAAGACCUUUAAUAAAUUGGGGGUGUAGCUCAGUUGGGAGAGCGCCUGCUUUGCAAGCAGGAGGUCAUCGGUUCGAUCCCGUUCACCUCCACCAAAAUCAAGUUAGAGUUUAAUUUUUAGGCUUAUUUUAAGCUUAAAAAUUAAGCUUUAUAAGCUAAUUGUUCUUUAAAAAUCUAGAAGAGACGCAACGAAAUAUUAACUAUAGUUGUUUUUUGUAACUAUAGUAUUAGGGUUUUGAUUGCAUUAUAUUUUAAAGAGUAAAAUCUUUGGAAUACUUAUGAACAGCACA
RNAcentral lists this transfer RNA (505 nucleotides) under Candidatus Kinetoplastidibacterium desouzai. RNAcentral describes it as "Candidatus Kinetoplastibacterium desouzaii partial 16S-23S ribosomal RNA intergenic spacer". The stretch from base 130 to 203 matches the Rfam family "tRNA". Lineage: Bacteria; Pseudomonadati; Pseudomonadota; Betaproteobacteria. The record is from RNAcentral.